CCCAAGGAGCUACAAGGGGACUCGGAGAGCUGCUCACACCUGGGGUAAGCCAGCUGGCACCCUGCGGGCAUGCUGGUGGCUCCCCAGGCCGCUGGGGUGUCACUGUCCCCUCCAGACAGCGGGGGCAGGCAGUGGCAAUUUUAUCAAGCAGUGACCUUACCAUUGAAUUUAUGCCUCUGAAGAUCCCACAAUACCUCCUUCACCCUGCUGGUGACCUGAUUGAUGGCGUAGCGUGGCCGCCUGUGGGGAGCGUGUUUAUUCAACUAACGCUGACCCUCUCUAUCAAACAUUAUUCCCCUUCUAGUUUAAUUAAAACACAAUUAGCAGGGCUCUCAAUUCCGUUAAAUAUGCACAAGCUUCUACUAAAUUACUAUUAAUCUCUGUUCAAUGUGCAAGUCAGUUAAGUGACAUGUGGAAAAUUACACGUUACUGACUCAGGAAUGCAGCUUGGAGGAUGACUUCAUGUUCCUGAAUGAAAAUAUCGGCGUGCCAGAUGUGCCUAGCGCCUGACCCCUUUAGAGGCUCUGAAAGAUCACACGUAGCUUUAAAAUGUAAUUUCAUGCAUGCAGAAGGAAGAAAGAGAGCCUAAUAGCUUUAUGGGACUUAGCUCUCCGUUUAAUUUAGUUAGGGCGGUGUGAACGUCUUCAUAACAUGAAGCAGAGCUCUGAUCCCUGCUCUGCCUGAGUGUUUCCAAUAGACACCCUAAUGCCUUUCUCAUGGUCAAGGGCUAACAAGCUGUAUUUGCUCGCUAUUAGUGAGAGGUUGUACUUCUUUCUUCGUUAGGCAACGAGUUUCACAGUGGCACUGACGAGUAUGCAGUCCUUGCUUUGAGUCAUUGACUUCUUCACGAAUUGUUUUAUUGGGAGAUACAAGCAACAGAUGGUGUUGCCAGACAGAGCUGGAUUUGGAAAGCAGCCAUUCACGAAUGUUUUCUUUGACAAAACCCAAAGGAUGUUAUUUUCCUGAAGAUGAAGCAGAAUCCGUGUAAUGGGAGCUGUAACCUAAGGAGACAAAUGAUUUUAC
Long non-coding RNA from Oxyura jamaicensis (ruddy duck), 1023 nucleotides. RefSeq lists it as uncharacterized. The transcript has 2 exons. NCBI's taxonomy places the organism in Eukaryota, Metazoa, Chordata, Aves, Anseriformes, Anatidae. The record is from RefSeq and is a predicted model, not a curated record.